GCCCGCGGGCUCGGCCUGCUCCCCGCGCCGCCCGCGCUCCGCGCCGAGCCGGACGACGAGGAGAGAGUGCCGCUGGCUGAGCUGUCACUGAUGAACAAGUUGAUCCACACGUCCCUGGUGGAGUCCCAGCAGCACGUGGAGAUCCUGCAGCGGGACCCCAGCUCCCCACUCUUCUCUAUCAAGACCUUCGAGGAGCUGCCCCUGAAGAAGGAGCUCUUGCAGGGGGUUUAUAUGAUGGGCUUCAACAGACCAUCCAAAAUCCAGGAGCAGGCUCUGCCACUCAUGCUGGCAUACCCGCCCCAAAAUCUGAUUGCCCAGAGCCAGUCAGGGACAGGGAAAACAGCAGCUUUUGUCUUGGCCAUGUUGAGCAGAGCCAGUGCCAGCGAGAAAUAUCCGCAGUGCCUCUGCCUGGCUCCCACCUACGAGCUGGCUCUGCAGAUCGGGCAGGUGGUGCGCACCAUCGGCAAGUUCUGCACUGACAUCAAGGUGAACUACGCUGUCCGGGGAAACCGAGUUCUGAAGGGCACAGUGCUGGAGGAGCAGAUCAUCAUUGGAACACCAGGCACCACGCUGGACUGGUGCUUCAAACAACGCGUCCUGGACCUGACAAAGAUCUCCUUGUUCGUGCUGGAUGAGGCCGACAUCAUGAUCGACACGCAGGGCCUCUCCUGUCAGAGCAUCCGCAUCCACAGGGCUCUUCCCAAGAGCUGCCAAGUGCUGCUCUUCUCAGCCACUUACAAGGAGCCCGUGCGGGCCUUUGCGGAGCGGAUCAUCCCCGACCCCAUCGUGAUCAAGCUGCGUGAGGAGGAGCUCACCCUGAGCAACAUCAGGCAGUACUUCAUGGUGUGCCAGAGCUCGGACGAGCAGUACAGGGCCCUCUGCAACCUCUAUGGCAGCUUCACCAUCGGUCAGGUCAUGAUCUUCUGCCAGACCCGGAGGCUGGCAGACUGGCUGUCGGGGAAGAUGAGCCGGGACGGGCACCAAGUGGCCAUCCUGACAGCAGAGCUGACGGUGGUGCAGAGGGCCAUCGUCAUCCAGCGCUUCCGUGAGGGCAAGGAGAAGGUCCUCAUCGCCACCAACGUCUGUGCCAGAGGCAUCGAUGUGCAGCAGGUCACCACGGUGGUGAACUUCGGCCUCCCCAUGGAUCAGGACGGCGAGCCGGAUUUUGAGACCUACCUGCACCGCAUCGGGAGGGCGGGACGCUUCGGGCACCGCGGCAUCGCCUUCAGCGUGGUGCAGAGGGAGACCGUGCAGCUCGUGCACAAGAUAGAGGAGUAUUUCCGCAUUUUUUCUGCCUUUCCUUGCAAGUGCUUGUCCCAGGGGACCUGGUGCCCCAGCUCAGGUCAGCCCUGGCUGUGGGAGAGGAGGUGGCAGCUGUGGAAAUCUUUCCUGAGUGGAAAUUGAUUGUCACUUGCUAACAUCAAGAGGAUUUUCAUGGGAUUUGCCAGAUGCCAGGGCUGCACUGAUGGUUUUUUGAAUCCCAGUGCCUGUUUUCCCUGUGAUUUUUAGAGGAAAGAAGGUUAUAGGAGCCUUCUGAUGGGCAGGAAACUGUGUCCCUUCCACAACUCCAGCCUCAGAGCCAUUCAGCCCUCUUGGUUCCUUCAAAUAUCCACCUGUCCUUGGAACCUGGAGUGACCCUGAGGCAGACACCAGACAGAGAAGACAUUCUGGCAAAGAUUGUUGCCGUGGAGUAGAAGCAGUGAGCAGCUGGAACAGCUGGCAUGUGGAUGAGCCCAACCACAGCCAUGGGCAGAAGGAGCCAGUAGACCACGAUCAAGCAGCUGGAUCCAUACGACAUGGACGAGCUGGAGAAGCUUGCAGCUGAGUGAGGAGCAGGGAUUCGUUCUCCCAAAUCCAAGUUGUAGUUCUAAACAGGAGGAAAAGUUUCAGGGGAAGACUUCCCGGUUCUCUUGUAUCCUGAAGCUGUUGAGUUUUGUUGUGUUGCCUGAGGGGAGGCUGGAGCGAACCUUGUCUCGCUAGAUGGCAGCAGGAAUCCACUGCUGCCAUCCCAGAUCCCAGGGCAAAAUCGAAGUGUUCAGGGUCCUGGCAGUGCAGGAGAGAGGUUGGACCCCCGGGGGUCUAAAAUCCAGGUGUUAAGGAUCCCAUCAGUGAGGGAGAGAGGUUGGAUCCCAGGGGUCUGAAACCCAAAUGUUCGGGGUCCCAGCAGUGUGGGGACAGAAGCUGGACUCAGGGACUGGGCUGUGUUUGUGCCUUUGUUAAUCUUUAAUAAAUGAAAUGGUUUGUAAUCAC
Molecule: RNA transcript, 2250 nt
Organism: Motacilla alba alba
Lineage: Eukaryota; Metazoa; Chordata; Aves; Passeriformes; Motacillidae
Gene: DDX25
Gene name: DEAD-box helicase 25
Exons: 11
Source: RefSeq, a predicted model, not a curated record